Molecule: ribosomal RNA, 465 nt
Filed under: Vreelandella stevensii
Lineage: Bacteria; Pseudomonadati; Pseudomonadota; Gammaproteobacteria; Oceanospirillales; Halomonadaceae
Description: partial 16S ribosomal RNA
Rfam family: Bacterial small subunit ribosomal RNA
Source: RNAcentral
CCUACGGGAGGCUGCAGUGGGGAAUAUUGGACAAUGGGCGAAAGCCUGAUCCAGCCAUGCCGCGUGUGUGAAGAAGGCCUUCGGGUUGUAAAGCACUUUCAGUGGGGAAGAAAGCCUUGGGGCUAAUACCCUCGAGGAAGGACAUCACCCACAGAAGAAGCACCGGCUAACUCCGUGCCAGCAGCCGCGGUAAUACGGAGGGUGCGAGCGUUAAUCGGAAUUACUGGGCGUAAAGCGCGCGUAGGCGGUCUGAUAAGCCGGUUGUGAAAGCCCCGGGCUCAACCUGGGAACGGCAUCCGGAACUGUCAGGCUAGAGUGCAGGAGAGGAAGGUAGAAUUCCCGGUGUAGCGGUGAAAUGCGUAGAGAUCGGGAGGAAUACCAGUGGCGAAGGCGGCCUUCUGGACUGACACUGACGCUGAGGUGCGAAAGCGUGAGUAGCAAACAGGAUUAGAUACCCUAGUAGUC